This 343-nucleotide long non-coding RNA is filed under the name Homo sapiens (human). Its description in RNAcentral is "HSALNT0128143". The record is from RNAcentral. Lineage: Eukaryota; Metazoa; Chordata; Mammalia; Primates; Hominidae.
UGUGAGCACUAUCUCCUAAACCCCUGUCUGAAAGCUGAUUUAGUUCUGACAUCAUCUUCCACUGAAGUAUCAGUGUUGCCGCCAAAAACACCUGGUGUUUGCUUGGCAUCUUUCCCAUCCCAGUCUCAACUUGUCUCAGGCCAGCUUACCUGAGAUCUACGGAGAACCCAGCACGAGCAUCUAAUCGUGGAAAAUGCAAGUCUUGUCAUCAGAACUCCAAAGUUUCAUUUGUAACUCUACUAACUAGGUGAGCUGGGCUUGCCACCCACUGCUCAGAAUCUUUGUGUCCUCUUUAAAUUGGGAUUAAUAUCUACCAACAAGAGAGAUGUGAAGCCAAAUUAGA